RNAcentral lists this ribosomal RNA (482 nucleotides) under uncultured bacterium. Its description in RNAcentral is "partial 16S ribosomal RNA". It matches the Rfam family "Bacterial small subunit ribosomal RNA", at positions 30 to 507 of the family's 1533-position model. The record is from RNAcentral.
AUUGAACGCUGGCGGCAUGCCUUACACAUGCAAGUCGAACGGUAACGGGCCUUCGGGUGCCGCCGAGUGGCGAACGGGUGAGUAAUACAUCGGAACGUGCCCGAUCGUGGGGGAUAACGAGGCGAAAGCUUUGCUAAUACCGCAUACGAUCUACGGAUGAAAGCAGGGGACCGCAAGGCCUUGCGCGGACGGCGCGGCCGCUGGCAGAUUAGGUAGUUGGUGGGAUAAAAGCUUACCAAGCCGACGAUCUGUAGCUGGUCUGAGAGGAUGAUCAGCCACACUGGGACUGAGACACGGCCCAGACUCCUACGGGAGGCAGCAGUGGGGAAUUUUGGACAAUGGGCGCAAGCCUGAUCCAGCCAUGCCGCGUGCAGGAUGAAGGCCUUCGGGUUGUAAACUGCUUUUGUACGGAACGAAAAGCCUUCUUUUAAUACAGGAGGGUCAUGACGGUACCGUAAGAAUAAGCACCGGCUAACUACGUG